RNAcentral lists this long non-coding RNA (1276 nucleotides) under Cavia porcellus (domestic guinea pig). RNAcentral describes it as "lncRNA (ENSCPOG00000032359.1)". Lineage: Eukaryota; Metazoa; Chordata; Mammalia; Rodentia; Caviidae. The record is from RNAcentral.
CCCGCGGUGUGGCCCUCUCCCUCUCUGCACAAUGUUCAAUGAGUGGGCGCGCUUUCUUCACCACUCACCUCCGGGCCACCAGGGGCCGCUCCCGAGCUAGGCAGGUCCGAGUGUUGCUGGUUCCCUGUGCUGCUACCAAAGUGGGUGGCUGCCGAGUGCGGGCUCAGUCUUCCUGGUCCCUGUUUUCCUCCUCCACAGCCUGAGACCUAAAGCAGCCUCCCUCUGGCUGGGGCUGCCGCAGCACAGCCUUCUCGGCUCCCCCAGUCUGCGAAGUGCUGACCAGGUGGAGCCCCGCAGGCUCAGAGGCCUCCUUCGACCCCCCCACCCCUACUUGAUGCCUGCUCCGUGAGCCGGGCCCCGCUGGCUCCGUGGGAGGGCUCCCUGGCCUCCCGCCUCCCACGGGCCUUGCAGCUGCCUGUCAGGGCAGCCAAGCCUCUGCUCCCUCCAGGGCCAGUCCUCGGGGCUCUGCCCUGUCCCCGAGGGCACUGCUGAGGGCGCGCCCGUGGCCACUUAUCGUCCUCGUCCUCGUCCUGGGAGAGUCCUCUGAGUGCCUUCUCUGCCCCCAGAUCCCGGCCCUGGCCCCGUGCCAACAGCAGCUCCCGCAGCUCCUCCCCGGCAAAGGACAUGGAUGACGGCAAAGUGAGCAUGGCCAUGAAGAGGCCCCCAGACUAUCCAGGGCCCCCGUUCCUGAGAGGCCCCAUGCCGCCCCCCCGUGGGCUAUGGGCCGCCGCAGCCACCACCACCCUCAGGCCCUUCAGGCCUCGGCCGAUGCCUCGUAGGCCAGCGCCACCAUUCGUUACGUCCCUUGCAGGGGCCCACCACUGGGCUUAAGAGAGUACGUGCCCGGCAUCCAACCCAGAUGCCGCAACCUGCCGCUGCACCCCGGCCAGUUCUUGCCAGGACCUGUGCCAUUUAGGCCUCCAGGCCCGCUCAGCCCCUGAGAGUAUUUCAUUCCUGCUCCUGAAUGCCACCACCGCCUGCUGGGCCCAGGACUACCCACUGCUGCCUGCCACAGGGGAGCCCCAGCUCUCAGGGCUGAGAGAGGCCUCAGCCUCACCACUAAGCAGCCAGGAACCUGCCCAGGCUUGAGGCAGAGCCCUUAAUGGCCCCACUACUCACAGGGCCAAGGUUUUUAUUGGAUUUGGAAUUCUUUUUAAAAGGAAGUUCGUUUUAGUAGGUUUUUAGUAUUAAGCUCCUGGUCCUCACUUCCUUUGGUUUGAUGUUGCUGAGACCUAAAAACAUAAACCUGGAAACCCACUAUUAAAAUGUAGCCCAA